Molecule: ribosomal RNA, 253 nt
Filed under: uncultured bacterium
Lineage: Bacteria
Description: partial 16S ribosomal RNA
Rfam family: Bacterial small subunit ribosomal RNA
Source: RNAcentral
UACGGGGGGGGCAAGCGUUGUUCGGAAUUACUGGGCGUAAAGGGCUCGUAGGCGGCCAACUAAGUCGGACGUGAAAUCCCCAGGCUCAACCUGGGAACUGCGUCCGAUACUGGAUGGCUUGAAUUCGGGAGAGGGAUGCAGAAUUCCAGGUGUAGCGGUGAAAUGCGUAGAUAUCUGGAGGAAUACCGGUGGCGAAGGCGGCGUCCUGGACCGACAUUGACGCUGAGGAGCGAAAGCUAGGGGAGCAAACGGG